CUCAGACACACCAACAAUAUGAAGCUCUCAGAAAAGAGGGGGAUUAGGAUAGAAAAGAUGUACAGAGAGAUUUGGGGCCAAAAUAGGGACUGUCCUUACUUAAUAGAGACACUUGGGAGGUAUGGUAUUAUAAACCCUAUUAUUUGAAAUACAGAUGUGUGUUACUAGCACAUCUAAGUAGAGUGCCUAAAUACGAUUACAUAUUGUUU
This is a non-coding RNA of Pelobates cultripes (western spadefoot toad), 209 nucleotides long. The record is from the annotation of a GenBank genome assembly. NCBI's taxonomy places the organism in Eukaryota, Metazoa, Chordata, Amphibia, Anura, Pelobatidae.